AAGGACAUUUUUCACUGUCUGCAAAACUGGGAAGACACAGAGGGAGAGGCAAAAGAGCCUGCUCCCUCCGGACCUGCUCUCCCCUCCCCCUCCUCCUCCUCCUCCCUCACCAGGAAAGCGACGGUGCCUCUGGGUCCUAGCUGCUCCCACUGCAGCGGCAGACCACGGAGAGCUGCCCCAGACACCUGCUGCCCUUUUCUCUCCGUGAACCUGGAGAGGAGGUUCCCCGUUGCAGUGAGCAUGAAAAACCCAGACCUGAAAGGGAGGGCGUGUUUUCACAGCACCUUCUCCUCGUCAGCCUCUUUCCAACGCUCCUGAAAACCGGCUCUGAAAAGAUCUGCUCUGUUCAGACAACGACUAACCGGGCUCCUCACCCAGAGCCCGAGGGUGAGGGAGAGGAAAACCGUGUCAUUAAGUUUGAGGGACAGGCCUUGGAGAGGCACAGAGACACAGGACCUCAGUGCGGGAUCACGAAGUCCAGACUUUCUGGUUUACAAGGGAAGCUGUUAUGGCCCAGAGAGGUUCUGCUGGCUGGGAAGUCCAAGAUCAAGAUGCUGGCCCAUUUGGGUCCCAGUGAGGAUUCCCUUCCUGGCUGGUCUGAGAUGAUACAGACUCCCCAGGUCCUGAGUGAGUACCACGACACCACGAAGGGUUGUGCAUGUGCUUGAGUCUUCUAAUUUUACUUUUUGUGGCUCUCCAGUGAAUCACAAGCUCUUUGAGAUAGUAUAAGAUGGAGGUUAGGGACGUGGGCUUUGGAAUCAGACAGAUGUGAGUUCGAAACCUGACUCUACCAGCACUGGGAACAUGGAAUUGUCACUGCCUGAUCUUGGCCCACAGACCUUGAGACUAGGUCCAGAUUUUACCACCAAACUGACCAUCCAGGGGUUCCAGGACUGGUCUCUGGACCUUUGCUUUGAAUGCUGCAGAAUUCCCAGAAGAACCCACAACUGAGAUCUGGCUGACAGGGAUGGAGCUCCAGUAACUCACCAGGGAAGACACCUGCUCCUCUUACUGCAACUGCAGGAUGAUAUAGACAGGAGUGUCCCCAGCCACUCUGAGCACACCUAACAGGUCUGCGGUUUAAGCCAGUCAAGGAAUUACCUUCAGAAGGAAGGAAGGACCGAAUGAAGGAAAGAACGAUGUGGAAACAAAGGGAAAAAGAGAAUAACAAGGAACAGAACCGCUGCCCCAGACUGAGUCUGCUCUGGUUAGUGUACCGCGUGAAUGCACUUCCAUUAUUAAAGUAAGGGGCGAAACUGCCCCUCAGGCUUGGCUAAUGGCCUGGUUAGGCCAUAAAGAAGUCAUUGCUCUCUGGGAAUAAACUGCUGCUCUUUUGAAGACAGGAGAUUCUUAGAGCGCCAGGAAUAAUCAGUAGUCACUGGUACCUGAAAAAUGAGAUUCACCUCACAUGGGAGGAAAUGAUGACUUCCUUAAGAGCCGCUUCUGUGACCGGAGAUAAAGUCUAGUGAUUGUAGAGUUUUAUGUAUUUAUGAAAUACCUGUGGCACAAAAUGCGCAGUUAUAGUGUGGUUUUACAGAGAAAACUAUAAAAUAAGUUGCCUAGGAGAAUCCACAUCCAUCCAUCCAUCCAUCCAUCCAACCAUCCAUCCAUCCAUAACGGUUAAGAGCAGGGACUCUGACCCAGACUUUUGGGUAUGAAUUUCACCUCCACUGCUUAAUAGCUGCACGACCUUGAGCAUGUCCCUUAGCCUCUUCAUGAAGUUUCCUCGUCUAUAAAAUUGGAAUAAUAUUAGUUUCCACCUCAUAGCAUUGGUCUGAGGAUUAAAUAAAUUAAUAUAUGUAAGGCUCUCAAAUAAAGCCUAGCAGAUAUAAGGAUUAUAUGUGUUAACUAUUAUUCAUUUAACUUGUAUUUAUAGAACCCCCACUAUGUACUGGGCACAGUUUUUCCUGUCAUUAAAUAUUCAUCUACAACAACAAUUUUAAUGGUUGCAUAGUAUUCUAUGAAAUAUGUAUGGAUAUCCCUUAGUACAGUGGUUCUCAAAUUUUAGCCUGCAUCAGAAUCACCUGGAGGGCGUGUUCAAGCAGAUUACUGGACCCACCCCUAGAGUCUCUGACUGAGUAGGCCUGAGGCGCUUCCUAAGAAUUUGCAUCCCUAACAAGUUCCCAGGUGCUGCUGAUGCUGUGAAUAGGGGACCAAACUUUGUCCCCUCAAAUAUACUAAGACCAAUACCUUAGUAUAUCUAAUUAAUUUAGUAGUUUUGAAUAUUUAGAUUGUUUCAGGAAGUUUCUGGGCAACCAGAAUUCUUAUCAGUCACUGACAGAUAAGUGUGAGUUAGCUUAUCAGAUAAAUGAAAAAGAUGAUUUAGACCAUCUCUAAGAUCCCUAUAUCAGAUACCUCCUAUGUAUAGCUGCAGAGCCUUUUAGCCACACCUGUGUGUUAUCCCGGCCUCUGCUGUGGGGAUCAGCUCAGGGAGAGCUCAGACCAGCUUCAUGCAGGUACAACAGCUGUGCCUCAUCGCAGGCUGCCGUCCUGCAUCUCUCAACACUCACCGCAGAGCUUCUUUGCUGAUGUCUCAGCUUGGGAUUCCUCAGAUAUCUGCAGGGCUCGCAGGUUGUGCCAUCCAGGCCGGUGCAUGCCCCACCUCCUAUAGGCUGGCACACUCCAUAAUGCAUCCUUCACGCCACCGGCCUCCGUCUCCGUGGGACCACACUUCCCAAUCAAGC
RNAcentral lists this long non-coding RNA (2684 nucleotides) under Equus caballus (horse). Its description in RNAcentral is "lncRNA (ENSECAG00000055588.1)". The record is from RNAcentral. Lineage: Eukaryota; Metazoa; Chordata; Mammalia; Perissodactyla; Equidae.